AGCACUAUAUUUAAACCUAUGGAUGGGACUUUUCCCCAUUCUUGGUUACGCUGUAGUGCAAAAAAAAUUCCUGACUUCUUGUUGCACAGCUGACUUGUGCCAUUUUGCUGUUGCUUUAUGGAGUUAAGGAACAUUU
RNAcentral lists this small nucleolar RNA (136 nucleotides) under Neotoma lepida (desert woodrat). Its description in RNAcentral is "Small nucleolar RNA SNORA46". It matches the Rfam family "Small nucleolar RNA SNORA46". Rfam says of the family: ACA46 is a member of the H/ACA class of snoRNA that guide the sites of modification of uridines to pseudouridines. The record is from Rfam by way of RNAcentral. Lineage: Eukaryota; Metazoa; Chordata; Mammalia; Rodentia; Cricetidae.